AAAGGGAGCAAUCCUAAGUAAAGUGGCGCACGGGUGAGUAACACGUGGAUCAUCUACCUUUUAGUGGGGGAUACCUCUGGGAAACCGGAGACAAUACCGCAUAAGCCUGUAAAGGGAAAGCAGCAAUGCGCUGAAAGAGGAGUCCGCGGCCGAUUAGCUAGUUGGCGGGGUAAUGGCCCACCAAGGCGAAGAUCGGUAGCCGGCCUGAGAGGGCACACGGCCACACUGGCACUGAAACACGGGCCAGACUCCUACGGGAGGCAGCAGUGGGGAAUCUUGCACAAUGGGCGAAAGCCUGAUGCAGCGACGCCGCGUGAGCGAUGAAGCCCUUCGGGGUGUAAAGCUCUUUCGACGGGAACGAUAAUGACGGUACCCGGAGAAGAAGCUGCGGCUAACUACGUGCCAGCAGCCGCGGUAAUACGUAGGCAGCGAGCGUUGUUCGGAAUUACUGGGCGUAAAGAGUGUGUAGGCGGUGCUCCCAGUCUGUUGUGAAAUCUCCCGGCUUAACUGGGAGGGUGCAGCGGAAACUAGAGUGCUAGAGGGUGGGAGAGGUAAGCGGAAUUCCUGGUGUAGCGGUGAAAUGCGUAGAUAUCAGGAGGAACACCUGUGGUGUAGACAGCUUACUGGACCACUUCUGACGCUGAGACACGAAAGCGUGGGUAGCAAACAGGAUUAGAUACCCUGGUAGUCCACGCCCUAAACGAUGCAUACUUGGUGUGAGCGAUUCAUUUCGUUCGUGCCGGAGCUAACGCGUUAGUAUGCCGCCUGGGGAGUACGGUCGCAAGGCUGAAACUCAAAGGAAUUGAC
Molecule: ribosomal RNA, 807 nt
Filed under: uncultured Actinomycetes bacterium
Lineage: Bacteria; Bacillati; Actinomycetota; Actinomycetes
Description: bacterial SSU rRNA
Rfam family: Bacterial small subunit ribosomal RNA
Source: RNAcentral